Long non-coding RNA from Cucumis melo (muskmelon), 955 nucleotides. RefSeq lists it as uncharacterized. Lineage: Eukaryota; Viridiplantae; Streptophyta; Magnoliopsida; Cucurbitales; Cucurbitaceae. The record is from RefSeq and is a predicted model, not a curated record. The transcript has 5 exons.
CGUGUCUUCUCCUUCUUUCGACUUUCAUUCGCGGAAUUUGGUCUCAUCUUCUUUCAUUCCCCUCUCAAAUUUCAGAAACCCUCGUCUCAUUCCCCUCCCCUCUCAAAUUUCAAAAACCCGUUGUCAUCUCUUUCAAUCUCUCUAUCGCUCUCUUCUGCUCACCAUCUCUCUAUUUCGUUGUCUAUCAUGUGACGGUUGAUAGACUGCGCACUCGCACAUUGACGGGGAACCCCUGUUAUUGAUACCCCGAGAAUGCUACCGCCUAGCCACCUCUUUGUGUCGUUCAACUUGCCAAACGUCGACAACACGCCACGCCACCAAGUCGAACCUAAUGUCUGUGGCAAAACCGAGCGUUUACAGCCAAAAGUUGAACCUCAAUGUUGAAUCCCUCUUGUGUUGAGAUUUUUCGUUGGUGAAGCUCGAUAUACGCCAUUAAAGCUAUUGUGGAUAUGUUUUGAAAUAUGAAGAUAAAAUGAAGGAGAAGGGUGAGGUACCAGUUACGUUCAGUCAUUUGGGACCUCCAAAAAGAUGAACAAUUGAAGAGGAAGAAGAGAGAGGGAACAUUCAAAUCAUGAUGACUCUGUUUACCACCACCCUACACUAAAUUCCACUGGAGCUCUACCACCUAGGAAACCUCCAAUGUUGAAAUCAUCAAUUGAAUUUUCAGAGUGAAGCUGAAAUGCAAGGAACAUGCGCAAGGCAGUCGCAGGCAAGGGAAGAGGUAGAGACAUACGAAGAAGAUGAAGACGAGCACGGUGACACCUUAUGUAGGGCAUGCGGUGAGAACUAUGCUUCAGAUGAAUUUUGGAUUUGCUGUGAUAUCUAUGAGAAAUGGUUCCAUGAGAAGUUUGUUGUAUGAAGAAAUGCUUCAGUUUAUCAGUUUUCUUGUGAUGUAUUGAGUUUUCUAAAAUAGGGUAGUAGUUUUUUGUUCAGGUCUGUUAUCAAAGGAUUUUUU